CCUACGGGUGACAGCAGUGAGGAAUAUUGGUCAAUGGCCGGAAGGCUGAACCAGCCAUGCCGCGUGAAGGUCAGUGCCCUAUGGGCGUUAAACUUCUUUUGUGCGGGAGCAAUAAUGGUCACGUGUGGCCAGACGAGAGUACCGUACGAAUAAGCAUCGGCUAACUCAGUGCCAGUAGCCGCGGUAAUACGGGGGAGGCAAGCGUUAUCCGGAUUUAUUGGGGUUAAAGGGUGCGUAGGCUGUGAGGUAAGGCAGCGGUGAAAUGCCCACGCUCAACGGGGUGAAGUGCCAUUGAUACUGCCUUGCUGGAAUGCGGAUGCCGUGGGAGGAAUGUGUGGUGUAGCGGUGAAAUGCAUAGAUAUCACACAGAACACCGAUUGCGAAGGCAUCUCACGAAUCCGCGAUUGACGCUGGUGCACGAAAGCGUGGGUAUCAAACAGGAUUAGAUACCCGGGUAGUC
Molecule: ribosomal RNA, 460 nt
Filed under: uncultured bacterium
Lineage: Bacteria
Description: partial 16S ribosomal RNA
Rfam family: Bacterial small subunit ribosomal RNA
Source: RNAcentral